GCAGUCGAGCGACUGAUUAGAAGCUUGCUUCUAUGACGUUAGCGGCGGACGGGUGAGUAACACGUGGGCAACCUGCCUGUAAGACUGGGAUAACUUCGGGAAACCGAAGCUAAUACCGGAUAGGAUCUUCUCCUUCAUGGGAGAUGAUUGAAAGAUGGUUUCGGCUAUCACUUACAGAUGGGCCCGCGGUGCAUUAGCUAGUUGGUGAGGUAACGGCUCACCAAGGCAACGAUGCAUAGCCGACCUGAGAGGGUGAUCGGCCACACUGGGACUGAGACACGGCCCAGACUCCUACGGGAGGCAGCAGUAGGGAAUCUUCCGCAAUGGACGAAAGUCUGACGGAGCAACGCCGCGUGAGUGAUGAAGGCUUUCGGGUCGUAAAACUCUGUUGUUAGGGAAGAACAAGUACGAGAGUAACUGCUCGUACCUUGACGGUACCUAACCAGAAAGCCACGGCUAACUACGUGCCAGCAGCCGCGGUAAUACGUAGGUGGCAAGCGUUAUCCGGAAUUAUUGGGCGUAAAGCGCGCGCAGGCGGUUUCUUAAGUCUGAUGUGAAAGCCCACGGCUCAACCGUGGAGGGUCAUUGGAAACUGGGGAACUUGAGUGCAGAAGAGAAAAGCGGAAUUCCACGUGUAGCGGUGAAAUGCGUAUAGAUGUGGAGGAACACCAGUGGCGAAAGCGGCUUUUUGGUCUGUAACUGACGCUGAGCGCGAAAGCGUGGGGGAGCAAACACGAUUAUAUACCCUGGGUAGUCCACGCCGUAACGAUGAGUGCUGACUGUU
This 784-nucleotide ribosomal RNA is filed under the name Priestia megaterium. RNAcentral describes it as "bacterial SSU rRNA". It matches the Rfam family "Bacterial small subunit ribosomal RNA", at positions 57 to 824 of the family's 1533-position model. The record is from RNAcentral. Lineage: Bacteria; Bacillati; Bacillota; Bacilli; Caryophanales; Bacillaceae.